This 484-nucleotide ribosomal RNA is filed under the name uncultured bacterium. Its description in RNAcentral is "partial 16S ribosomal RNA". It matches the Rfam family "Bacterial small subunit ribosomal RNA", at positions 30 to 507 of the family's 1533-position model. The record is from RNAcentral.
AUUGAACGCUGGCGGCAGGCCUAACACAUGCAAGUCGAGCGGAUGAAGCGAGCUUGCUCCUGGAUUCAGCGGCGGACGGGUGAGUAAUGCCUAGGAAUCUGCCUGGUCGUGGGGAAUAACGUCCGGAAACGGGCGCUAAUACCGCAUACGUCCUGAGGUAGAAAGUGGGGGAUCUUCGGACCUCUCGCCUUCUGAUGAGCCUAGGUCGGUUUAGCUAGUUGGUGGGGUAACUGCCUACCAAGGCGACGAUCCGUAACUGGUCUGAGAGGAUGACCAGUCACACUGGAACUGAGACACAGUACAGACUCCUACAGGGGGCAGCGGUGGGGAAUAUUGGACGAUGGGCGAAAGCCUGAUACAGCCAUGCGGCGUGUGUGAAGAAGGUCUUCGGAUUGUAAAGCACUGUAAGUUGGGGGGAAGGACAGUAAGUUAAUACCUGACUGUAUUGACGGUACCAACAGAAUAAGCACCGGCUAACUUCGUG